This is a long non-coding RNA of Populus euphratica (Euphrates poplar), 869 nucleotides long. RefSeq lists it as uncharacterized. The record is from RefSeq and is a predicted model, not a curated record. NCBI's taxonomy places the organism in Eukaryota, Viridiplantae, Streptophyta, Magnoliopsida, Malpighiales, Salicaceae. The transcript is spliced from 2 exons.
UUCAACUCUUUAAGAUUGUUGUCAUUUUCUUGUAGCCCACAUUAUUUUGCUUAUGAAGAGUGCUGCAUGGCUUAUUUAUGCUGUGCCUGUGCCUUUGCCUGUGCUUCCGUCUAGUCCUACAAGAACAGGAUUGGGCAAUUCUUCAUGGUGGAUCUGCCGUCGCAGAUUGUUGUUAGGCAAAAUGUGAAGAAAAAUUGCCGCCUUCUGGGUUUUAAAAGGAUUGCUACGACUUCUAAGCAGUCUAGUUGUCAUGAAAUCUCUGGGAAAAAACUGGCAGCUGGCUGGUGGAAGUUAAAUGUAGAUGGUAGCUCAUUGGGCAAUCGGUACGGGCUGGUGCUGGUGGAGAAAUUCCAGAUGGGCACUCUGAAGGGAGAGUGGUUGCAGACUUCUUGAGGUUGAGUCAGAUCCCAUAGAGAGGCUGUUGGAAUACUUAAUUCAAAUCCCGCUGAUUGCCACACCCUUUUGCACUUGGUGAAUGGUUUUGAGCAAGAUAUUCGAGAUUUUGGAGAGUGAGAUGCAGCACCAGUUUAAAGGGGGGUACUUUUGUGCAGAUUUAUAUGGCUUGUUCUGGUGCAGUCAAGAGUCUCUUCUGGCAGAGCGGAACUCCCCACCUCCUGGGCUCAAGCUAAUCCGGCAGGCUGAUGCUAUGGAGAUUACGAGUCAGGCUGAAACAGGACCAAGUGGAUCUUAACCUUGGUUCGUUAUUUAUACAAUGUAGCCACCAUAAUUGACGAGUUUUAACUUCAUUUUUUAAUAUGAAGUUGAAAAUUUCAGUUUCAUCCCCAAUUGAAGUAGUAACCAAUGUGCAUUCAGAAUCCAAUCUGCAAAUCUUCUCAAAAGGUAUUCAAAUAUAUAUGCAUUCUCGUCCA